GCCGUCGGUGGCGCAAUGGUUAGCAUACGCUCCCGGAAAGGUAGUGAUAUCUGGGUUCGAAUUCUAGCUGACGCA
Parelaphostrongylus tenuis is the source of this 75-nucleotide non-coding RNA. Lineage: Eukaryota; Metazoa; Nematoda; Chromadorea; Rhabditida; Metastrongylidae. The record is from the annotation of a GenBank genome assembly.